This 345-nucleotide unclassified non-coding RNA is filed under the name soil metagenome. RNAcentral describes it as "partial contains 5.8S ribosomal RNA, internal transcribed spacer 2, and large subunit ribosomal RNA". The stretch from base 1 to 119 matches the Rfam family "5.8S ribosomal RNA", at positions 35 to 154 of the family's 154-position model. The record is from RNAcentral.
GAUGAAGAACGCAGUGAAAUGCGAUACGUAAUGUGAAUUGCAAAUUCAGUGAAUCAUCGAGUCUUUGAACGCACAUUGCGCCCCCUGGUAUUGCGGGGGGCAUGCCUGUCCGAGCGUCAUUGCUGCCCUCAAGCACGGCUUGUGUGUUGGGCCCCGUCCUCCGAUCCCGGGGGACGGGCCCGAAAGGCAGCGGCGGCACCGCGUCCGGUCCUCGAGCGUAUGGGGCUUUGUCACCCGCUCUGUAGGCCCGGCCGGCGCUUGCCGAUCAACCCAAAUUUUUAUCCAGGUUGACCUCGGAUCAGGUAGGGAUACCCGCUGAACUUAAGCAUAUCAAUAAGCGGAGGA